AGAACAACAGGGAUUGCCCCAGUAACGGCGAGUGAAGCGGCAACAGCUCAAAUUUGAAAUCUGGCCUCGGCCCGAGUUGUAAUUUGCAGAGGAUGCUUCGGGCGCGGUGCCUUCCGAGUUCCCUGGAACGGGACGCCAUAGAGGGUGAGAGCCCCGUAUGGUUGGACGCCUAGCCUGUGUGAAGCUCCUUCGACGAGUCGAGUAGUUUGGGAAUGCUGCUCAAAAUGGGAGGUAUAUCUCUUCUAAAGCUAAAUACCGGCCAGAGACCGAUAGCGCACAAGUAGAGUGAUCGAAAGAUGAAAAGCACCUUGAAAAGGGGGUUAAACAGCACGUGAAAUUGUUGAAAGGGAAGGGCCCAUGACCAGACUUGUGUCCGGCGGAUCACCCAGCGUUCUCGCUGGGGCACUCCGCCGGGUCCAGGCCAGCAUCGGUUCUCGCCGGGGGAUAAAGGCUCUGGGAACGUAGCUCCUCCGGGAGUGUUAUAGCCCUCUGCGUAAUACCCUGGCGGGGACCGAGGUACGCGCUCCGCAAGGAUGCUGGCGUAAUGGUCAUCAGCCACCCGUCUUGAAACACGGAUCAAGGAGUCGUCCAUUAGAGCGAGCGUUUGGGUGUCAAACCCGCACGCGUAAUGAAAGUGAACGUAGGUGAGAGCUUCGGCGCAUCAUCGACCGAUCCUGAUGUCCUCGGAUGGAUUUGAGUAUGAGUUUUACUGGACGGACCCGAAAGAUGGUGAACUAUGCCUGUAUAGGGUGAAGCCAGAGGAAACUCUGGUGGAGGCUCGCAGCGGUUCUGACGUGCAAAUCGAUCGUCAAAUAUGGGCAUGGGGGCGAAAGACUAAUCGAACCAUCU
This 849-nucleotide ribosomal RNA is filed under the name Phaeoacremonium rubrigenum. RNAcentral describes it as "eukaryotic LSU rRNA". It matches the Rfam family "Eukaryotic large subunit ribosomal RNA", at positions 62 to 945 of the family's 3401-position model. The record is from RNAcentral. Lineage: Eukaryota; Fungi; Ascomycota; Sordariomycetes; Togniniales; Togniniaceae.